Molecule: long non-coding RNA, 586 nt
Filed under: Malus domestica (apple)
Lineage: Eukaryota; Viridiplantae; Streptophyta; Magnoliopsida; Rosales; Rosaceae
Description: long non-coding RNA (MDOM_LNC020288)
Source: RNAcentral
AUGUUUUGGGUUGUCGUAUGCAAUCAUCCAAUCCAAUAACUUGUGGAAAAACAGAGGGUUAAUUAGUGCAAUUCACGAUUAAUUUGGGGCGUUGAGUAUUCAUAGCUUAUCGAAAAGCAACUGGAAAUCGUUUUGUAUGCAAGUGUGACAUGCGUGGAGAAGAACCUCCUAGCUAGCCUUCCAUCCAUAAGUUUCAUUCAAAUUCAUUUUACAAUCUGUUUUGAUUCAGUUAAAUUUGUCUAAGAAUUUGUUUACUUUGUCCUUGUCUUAAUUUAAUUAUUUUCGUCCAAAAUCAACCCCAUCUUAUUUCUUUGAGUCAUAUUAAUUAGAACUUGUCUUAGAUUAUGUUUUUAAGUGUUUUAGUUCAUUAGAAAACCAAAAUUCGUCCAAGUUUGUUUUAGAGUCCCAAAACUGCCCAGAUUGUGUGUUUAAGGUAGUUUUGAGUGUUUAGGGGCUAUUUUGAGUCUUUUGGUUUGUUUUAGUGUUUUAAAGUAUAGUUUUGCAUUCUUUGAGUCUAGUCAGUGUUUUAAACUUUGUUUUUACGUUUUCAAGUCAGUUUCCAAGUGAUUUAGCAAUCCCUCCUAAU